Equus asinus (donkey) is the source of this 854-nucleotide long non-coding RNA. Lineage: Eukaryota; Metazoa; Chordata; Mammalia; Perissodactyla; Equidae. The record is from Ensembl.
ACAGUGUGAGAUUCUUGUAUAACAAAAUGGGUCAUCAGGGAGUGGAGAUGCAGUGUUGGAACCAAGGUCAGAUGCAGCUGCAGCAAAUGAAGAUGCCAUUCAAAGGGCCUCAAGGUUUGCAAUUGGGUAAAAUGCUCAAUUUCAACCCACAGGUCAGGCUCGGUGAGCAGCUUUCCAGCUGUUUGUUCUGUAAUGGUUCCAGUGAACGAGAGGCACUGCGGUCCAAGAAAAUGUCCUGGAGCACCAGUGGGUUCUGGGCUGCUGGCUGAGGGCCACUUGGUAUGCUGUGCCACUGAGCUCUCAGCCGGAAUUUCACCUUGGCUAAAUAUUCCUCUCUCAAUCCACUAAUUCCCCAGAAAGGAGACUGUGGACGCACCAUGCCAUUGAAGAACAAUAGAGGAACUGUGGGCUGGGUAUUUGGGAAGAUUCCUGCAGAGGAGGCCAUUGUUCAGGGACCUGGCAUCAUGAUCAGGAUGCGGGCUGUGCGAUUUUUCUCUGAGGAGCUCUAGAAGCCUUGAACCAUGGACUUCAUAGUAUCUUGACUUUUUAGCUAAGUCCACGUGAGAGGUUGCAAAUGAAUGGUCAGUAGGCUGAACACUACCUCCAGGAGUGUUUUGUUUAGCUUGCAUGGUGUUUAAACAUUUUUUGAGUAAGUCACCAACAUUUUAAGAUUGGGAGAUUAAAAAUUUUAGAUUUCUAAUGUCUCUUGAAAAAAAGCAAAGGAAAGAUCUGGCAACGGCAUCACUGACAUCCCAUUCUUGCCACAGUCCGUCAGAAGCUGGAGAUUUACACUGGGCACCCAUUCCCUGGGCUUUCAUCCCACUGCUCCCUAUUGCCUAGUACUCAGUGGGCUU